GAUGAACGCUGGCGGCGUGCCUAGUACAUGCCAGUCGAGCGAACGGACGAGAAGCUUGCUUCUCUGAUGUUAGCGGCGGACGGGUGAGUAACACGUGGAUAACCUACCUAUAAGACUGGGAUAACUUCGGGAAACCGGAGCUAAUACCGGAUAAUAUUUUGAACCGCAUGGUUCAAAAGUGAAAGACGGUCUUGCUGUCACUUAUAGGUGGAUCCGCGCUGCAUUAGCUAGUUGGUAAGGUAACGGCUUACCAAGGCAACGAUGCAUAGCCGACCUGAGAGGGUGAUCGGCCACACUGGAACUGAGACACGGUCCAGACUCCUACGGGAGGCAGCAGUAGGGAAUCUUCCGCAAUGGGCGAAAGCCUGACGGAGCAACGCCGCGUGAGUGAUGAAGGUCUUCGGAUCGUAAAACUCUGUUAUUAGGGAAGAACAUAUGUGUAAGUAACUGUGCACAUCUUGACGGUACCUAAUCAGAAAGCCACGGCUAACUACGUG
This 497-nucleotide ribosomal RNA is filed under the name uncultured bacterium. Its description in RNAcentral is "partial 16S ribosomal RNA". It matches the Rfam family "Bacterial small subunit ribosomal RNA", at positions 28 to 507 of the family's 1533-position model. The record is from RNAcentral.